RNAcentral lists this transfer RNA (83 nucleotides) under Canis lupus familiaris (dog). It matches the Rfam family "tRNA". Rfam says of the family: Transfer RNA (tRNA) molecules are approximately 80 nucleotides in length. Their secondary structure includes four short double-helical elements and three loops (D, anti-codon, and T loops). The record is from Rfam by way of RNAcentral. RNAcentral also lists the same sequence under 1 other name. Lineage: Eukaryota; Metazoa; Chordata; Mammalia; Carnivora; Canidae.
GCCUGGGUGGCUCAGAGGUUGAGCGUCUGUCUUUGGCUCAGGGUGUGAUCCUGGGGUUCCAGGAUCGAGUUCUGAUUCAGGCU